UGAGGUAGAUAAGAUCGGUUCCACAUCUAAGUAUCGGCCAAUCACUGAUCUCCCAAAAUUAAAGAAAUCAGCGCACCCCUAACAUAAAGUGAAAUCAAUACUACACAAAUCAAGUGAAAAUCCAGAAAUAAUAUUGCUGCACAGAAGUGUAAAUCCUUACUUUGUUGAUGUACCAGCAUUCAGUCUCCUUGGCGCCUGCUAUCAAUUAUAAUGAAUCUGAAUAAGCUGAAAUAAAGUUCAGCUUGACAUGUACCCUUUAGCAAAAGCCACAGUUUGUAGAGGUUACAAAAGACCAGAAGGACCUCAUCAUACAAAAGGCAUAAACCUGAACAUUUGGGCCCCAGUUCCAUGAAGUAUGAGUAACACAAGAACAACACUGCAAGUCACCAAAAGGACACCAAGCCCACUGUGAAAUACACCGGUUGCAGCGUCACUCUCUGUGGUUACUUUACAUCACAUGGGUUUCUUCUUCUAGGUAGUUUCAAGUUAUGAGCAGUUUCAAAUGUCAGUUUUCUUUGGACCAACACCUUCAGGUGUCUGCUGGAAAGCUGAAGACAAAAAAAGGAUUUCAUUUUUCAGCAUCCAAGCCAAAAAUAAAAAGGAUGACACUUUGUGAAAUAAAAAAAGUUUUAGAAUGGAAAAGGUAGAGUCCAGAACUGAAUUUGACAGGAAAUCCAUGGGGUCACCUGAAGAAAUCCGUGGACAAGAGGGAGAUCUGAAGAUCUUAUGUAAGGUACAGCGGACAAAUAUUUCCUAGUAAAGAUGAGCGAUGUCAAGAGACUCCUACCUAAAAAGACCAAAUGCUGAAACUGAAUAAAAAUGUGCUUUACCAAGGCUGUCAGUAAAAGGUCUGGUUUCCCUAAGUGUCUGUUAGGUAAAUUGUAUAUAUUAUUAUCAAAUAUUUGUUGUUUCAUGUGCCUUUAUAAUGUCCUUGUCUUAUAUGCCUUUAUUUGUUUUGUUUCAUCUUAGCAUAAAGAAUGUUUCUGUGUUGUUGAAUUACUUUGAUUCCGUUCUCAGAAGGCCUCUCUGAGGAAGAGCAGAGAACCGUUUUCAACAGGGUUAUCGCUCAGCAGAAACCCAACAUCCUUGACCUGCUAGAUAGCUAUAAAACCGUCGCCGUGAAGAUGUACAACUUGCUCUGCUCUACCAUGUGUCUGGAACCGAAUAAUCUAGUGCAAGAUAACAUGUGUUUUAGUUAGUGAUUGUCAUUAGCACUGCAACUAAAAUCCUUUGUUCCCA
Xiphophorus hellerii (green swordtail) is the source of this 1239-nucleotide long non-coding RNA. RefSeq lists it as uncharacterized. The transcript is spliced from 3 exons. Lineage: Eukaryota; Metazoa; Chordata; Actinopteri; Cyprinodontiformes; Poeciliidae. The record is from RefSeq and is a predicted model, not a curated record.